GACGAACGCUGGCGGCGUGCCUAACACAUGCAAGUCGAACGAAGCUUGAUUUCUGAUUUUUUCGGAAUGACGAAUGAUAUGACUGAGUGGCGGACGGGUGAGUAACGCGUGAGCAACCUGCCCUUCGGAACGGGAUAGUGUCUGGAAACGGACAGUGAUACCGUAUAACAUAUAUUGAUCGCAUGGUCGAUAUAUCAAAACUGAGGUGCCGAAGGAUGGGCUCGCGUCUGAUUAGAUAGUUGGUGGGGUAACGGCCUACCAAGUCGACGAUCAGUAGCCGGACUGAGAGGUUGAACGGCCACAUUGGGACUGAGACACGGCCCAGACUCCUACGGGAGGCAGCAGUGGGGAAUAUUGCACAAUGGGGGAAACCCUGAUGCAGCAACGCCGCGUGAAGGAAGACGGUUUUCGGAUUGUAAACUUCUGUUCUUAGUGAAGAAUAAUGACGGUAGCUAAGGAG
Molecule: ribosomal RNA, 460 nt
Filed under: uncultured bacterium
Lineage: Bacteria
Description: bacterial SSU rRNA
Rfam family: Bacterial small subunit ribosomal RNA
Source: RNAcentral